This 491-nucleotide ribosomal RNA is filed under the name uncultured bacterium. RNAcentral's name for it is "bacterial SSU rRNA". It matches the Rfam family "Bacterial small subunit ribosomal RNA", at positions 28 to 507 of the family's 1533-position model. The record is from RNAcentral.
GAUGAACGCUAGCUACAGGCUUAACACAUGCAAGUCGAGGGGCAGCAUCAUCAAAGCUUGCUUUGAUGGAUGGCGACCGGCGCACGGGUGAGUAACACGUAUCCAACCUGCCGACAACACUGGGAUAGCCUUUCGAAAGAAAGAUUAAUACCGGAUGGCAUAGUUUUCCCGCAUGGGAUAAUUAUUAAAGAAUUUCGGUUGUCGAUGGGGAUGCGUUCCAUUAGGCAGUUGGCGGGGUAACGGCCCACCAAACCAACGAUGGAUAGGGGGUUCUGAAAGGAAGGUCCCCCCACAUUGGAACUGAGACACGGUCCAAAACUCCUACGGGAGGCAGCAGUGAGGAAUAUUGGUCAAUGGACGAGAGUCUGAACCAGCCAAGUAGCGUGAAGGAUGACUGCCCUAUGGGUUGUAAACUUCUUUUAUACGGGAAUAAAGUGAGGCAUGUGUGCCUUUUUGCAUGUACCUUAUGAAUAAGGACCGGCUAAUCCGUG